This 370-nucleotide transfer-messenger RNA is filed under the name Microbacteriaceae. Its description in RNAcentral is "Microbacterium sp001427525 Standard tmRNA". It matches the Rfam family "transfer-messenger RNA". From Rfam's summary of the family: Bacterial tmRNA, also known as 10Sa RNA or SsrA, is named for its dual tRNA and mRNA-like properties. Its role is to liberate the mRNA from a stalled ribosome. RNAcentral also lists the same sequence under 1 other name. Lineage: Bacteria; Bacillati; Actinomycetota; Actinomycetes; Micrococcales. The record is from RNAcentral.
GGGGAUGAUCGGUUUCGACAUCGCCUGUGAAUCUGCGAGAAGCGGGCCGAGGAUGCAGGGUUAUCUCGUAAACGAUCUCUGCAAAACUAUAAUUGCCGAUGCAAAUCGCAAUGAUUUCGCCCUCGCUGCAUAAGCGAGCCUGAAAUCCGUGAGACCGUAGGCGUUCCCGCUACGGACCCUCGCGUCAUCUAGGGGACUUGCUGCGUGACGGCGUCUUGGACGUCACGCGGGACUCUUCCCAGACUGGGCUUGUCGACUUAGAUGCCUGUGGCAAAUGUCGGAGCCGAGUAGAACGCCUUCACAGGAUGCGCCCGGAGAAGACGCAGAGACUCAGCGAUGGACGGGGGUUCGAUUCCCCCCAUCUCCACCA